This 433-nucleotide ribosomal RNA is filed under the name uncultured bacterium. Its description in RNAcentral is "partial 16S ribosomal RNA". It matches the Rfam family "Bacterial small subunit ribosomal RNA", at positions 29 to 507 of the family's 1533-position model. The record is from RNAcentral.
AACGAACGCUGGCGGCAUGCCUAACACAUGCAAGUCGAACGAGACCUUCGGGUCUAGUGGCGCACGGGUGCGUAACGCGUGGGAACCUGCCUUUAGGUUCGGAAUAACUCAGAGAAAUUUGAGCUAAUACCGGAUGAUGUCUUCGGACCAAAGAUUUAUCGCCUUUAGAUGGGCCCGCGUUGGAUUAGCUAGUUGGUGGGGUAAAGGCCUACCAAGGCGACGAUCCAUAGCUGGUCUGAGAGGAUGAUCAGCCACACUGGGACUGAGACACGGCCCAGACUCCUACGGGAGGCAGCAGUGGGGAAUAUUGGACAAUGGGCGAAAGCCUGAUCCAGCAAUGCCGCGUGAGUGAUGAAGGCCUUAGGGUUGUAAAGCUCUUUUACCCGAGAUGAUAACGACAGUAGCGGGAGAAUAAGCUCCGGCUAACUACGUG